RNAcentral lists this ribosomal RNA (482 nucleotides) under uncultured bacterium. RNAcentral describes it as "partial 16S ribosomal RNA". It matches the Rfam family "Bacterial small subunit ribosomal RNA", at positions 29 to 507 of the family's 1533-position model. The record is from RNAcentral.
ACGAACGCUGGCGGCGUGCUUAACACCUGCAAGUCGCACGCUGAAGCUCAGCUUUUGUUGGGUGGAUGAGUGGCGAACGGGUGAGUAACACGUGAGUAACCUGCCUCCUUCUUUGGGAUAACGCCCGGAAACGGGUGCUAAUACUGGAUAUUCACUGGUCUUCGCAUGGGGGUUGGUGGAAAGGGUUUUUCUGGUGGGGGAUGGGCUCGCGGCCUAUCAGCUUGUUGGUGGGGUGAUGGCCUACCAAGGCUUUGACGGGUAGCCGGCCUGAGAGGGUGACCGGUCACAUUGGGACUGAGAUACGGCCCAGACUCCUACGGGAGGCAGCAGUGGGGAAUAUUGCACAAUGGGCGCAAGCCUGAUGCAGCGACGCCGCGUGAGGGAUGGGGGCCUUCGGGUUGUGAACCUCUUUCGCUAAUGGUCAAGCCGCAACAAUGGUUGUGGUGAGGGUAGUGGGUAAAGAAGCGCCGGCUAACUACGUG